AUUCAGCUAACGAGCUCCAUACAGGAUGAAACGCGCGUCCUGAAU
This is a non-coding RNA of Schistosoma mansoni, 45 nucleotides long. Lineage: Eukaryota; Metazoa; Platyhelminthes; Trematoda; Strigeidida; Schistosomatidae. The record is from Rfam.